This 957-nucleotide long non-coding RNA is filed under the name Mytilus galloprovincialis (Mediterranean mussel). The record is from RNAcentral. Lineage: Eukaryota; Metazoa; Mollusca; Bivalvia; Mytilida; Mytilidae.
CCCCAAGAGAAAACGAAAACGGGAUCCAUCGGGAUCCCAAUGCAAUCCCGGUGAAAUUGUCGGGAUAAGCCGGGAUAAGCAUCUAGAGGCGGGAUCCCAUUCGGAAUAAAUAUCUGAAACUGGGAUCCCAUUCGGGAUAACUGUCUGAAGCCGGGAUUCCAGUCAAGAUGAAACGGGAUAAAUAUCGGACACUGGGAUCCCAAUCGGGGUAACUGUCUGAAGCUGGGAUCCCAAUCGGAACUGUUUAAAGCCGGGAUCCCAAUCGGGAUGACUGUCUGAAGCUGGGAUCCCAGUCUAGUUAAAACGGGAAAUUGUAUGAACCAUAUAUUAUGUUGUUGAAAAUAUGUAAGUGUUUCUGUGGUCGGGUUGUUGUCUCUUUGACACAUUCCGCACUUCCAUUUUCAAUUUUAUUUUUAUAUGUCUCUGAUAACAUCAAGUACAGGUUAUUAGUGUUAAUUAACAAUGCGUAUGACACCAAAGCUGUCAGUUGAAGCCAAUCACAUUUAAGUGUCACUUAAUAUUCAGUUUGACAGAUAUUAAUAAGUCAGAAAAAUGCCGAGAUUUUCGCGAUAAAAAUGGCAGGGCGUCCGAGAAAUGUCAACGAGUGUUUUGCCAGAAAAGCUUGGGCGUUUCUGUUGUUCCUCAAGUUCCCAUAAGUGCGUUUCUAUUAGUUGUCGUCCGGCAUCAAUGAUAAGAUAAUGAUCGACAUCGUAAAACUUUGAUUUCUCAACUUAUGUAAACUGUAAAAAAUCAUAACCACGUGCUUUGUUUUCAACUGUACUGCCGCGGGACAGUUCGACCCUAGAAAAUACUGACUACUGUCCUAAAUAAUGCGGCCACUAUCUUAUCCGCAUGCACCAUGUGCCGAUUAAUAAAGUAUAAUUUUCUUAUAUUUAGUAAAAACUGGCCAGUAAUUAAUACUUUUAUGCGAUACCCUUAAUUUAUUUAUAAUACCGU